CUCCCGACGUUGGCCUAGGGCAAGACCUGGUGCGCCGCCGAGAGAGAGAGGAGGAGGAGGAGGAAGGGAGGGACAUCCCCCGUGUAUGCGUGGUGGGCGAGGGCGAUGUCUCUGGUCACACCGGUGCGUGACUCCUCGACGUGUAUCGGUGUAUGGCGUCCUGCCGGCGGGCGCGGAGCGGGGGGCGGUAGCGGCCGAGCGCACUCAACCUCGCGCUGAAUUUGUUCAACCUUGUACCUCAACGUCCUUUACGAUCUUCAGUAUUGCUUUGUCCGCGUCCACAAGCACAUUGUCGGGCAAGACGACGGGCGCGCUUCUGCACUCCCUUGACCUUGCCCGUGGCCCGAGAGUCUGGAAAGUCGCUAGGUGCAGCCGCCAUGCCCUCCUGCUGGCAAUUCCUUCAAUCGCUGCAGUCUGCACCUGAUCAUGAUAAGUAACCCAACCUUUUGAAUUGUGAUCGGAAGCAAUUGAUUUCUUUUGCUGAAAAUAUAUAUGAGGUGAGUCCAAAUUGAAUUCGUCUGCAAUCAGUUGAUUUGUCAACAUGGAGUAGUCACAUCUUACCAGUGCAUUCUCCAAUUCCCCAUUGUUGUCUCACUCUGUAAUCCCCUGCCCCCUAAUCUAAUCGUCUUUGCUUCAGUCAGUGUACCCUGGAUUUGAACGAAAUCAAAUACCCACCAUGUGCUUCUAAUUGACACGCUUGACACCUAACUUGCUGACUUGAACAUCUGAAUUGUGACGACGACUAAGGAAUUAAGUAUCUAGAUCAUUUGUAUCAUUUCUUAGAGAAUUAACCUAGCCAGCAUAAACACCAAAUAUUUAGAUUCAGCAGUGUGCUUAUGUUAAGUUCAACAUGGUUUAAAUUCACUAAAGUGCAGGUAGCUCUCAGCAUCAACAUCACAUGGGACAAGUAUAAAUGCAAUCUGAAGUCAAUAAUGUUAUUGUUCGGUUAGUUUGUUGUCUGAUCAUGAUAAUUUUCUUAGAACGUUGUUGUACCUUCAGAUUAGAAUAACUUUCUUAUAUCAACAAUUUGGUUCAGCAUGCAACUUAAUGUUGUAUGCAUGGGGUAGAAGAAGCAAACAAGCGGUCUACUCCAUCUAGCACCUCAAAGAGCAACCGCAGUGCAGACCGCCCCUUGCAGGCUUCAGAUCACCCACAAGAACGUUGAGAAUUUGGGCGGACAUACUAUAGCUCUUACUACUUGAGUACUUGUUGGUCCGCUACAGAGUGGCUCCCGCUCCAAGUUGGGCACAAAACCCCAGGAGCAUGUUGAGGGCAUAAGGCAAGCAGAAUAACAAGAAAUCCGCCAAACAUUGUGUGUUCAACUUUGUUUUUGGUUCUGGGAAUUGCCUCUUCGUUGGCCUCCAGGUAUUUUAGUCUCAACAAUGAUAUUUAGCUUAUUGUGCAAUAACCACAUGUUUGGAUGGAACAAUCUGACAUAAUUUGACUGCAAAAAUGCAAGACAACAAUAAGGAUGAAAAUCCAUGUUAUGUUAUUUUGAUAGAGUAAGUGGCUCCUUUCCUAAAAAUAAAGAUACAUGGAGAUCUGCAAGUAUUUGAUAACUUUGGCUUUCUAUUAUUUUAGCAUUUUGUGUUUGGUACAAAUUUUCCUGCGUACUUAAAAGACUCAAGGUUGUGUUUUUGGGAUGAGUUUGACAGUAGUCUGUGCAUGGUAGUCUAAAUUAUAUACAUUUUCAGUAUGAGUUUAUAACUUAGCUGUCAUGAGAAAUACGACGCAUUUUGCAGUGGGGGCGCUGAAGUAUUCCGAGGCAAUCUUUGACAGGAGUUGAUGUAUUGUUUUUCUUUUACUUGAUUUAGUGAAUUUUAAAAUUCUAUACCAAUUUUAUAACUCACUAUGUAUUGUUUAUAAGAUUACCCACACCAAUGUUGUGACGCUAAUCUGCCUACAUGCAGGUGAUGACUUCCUUAGAUAGGAACCGGUCUCCUUGUACUUUCAUAGAGAAGUGUUGUAAAUUGCAUUCUAUUAUAUGUUGCCACAACUUUUCCAGAGUUGUUUGUAUAUGUCAAUGCUUGACAUGAUGAGGUUUUGCUUAGUAAGCAUGCCUUUGUGUAACUCUUUCCUCAAAAAUAUGUGAUUGCGUGGUCGAAUUAAAUUCCCCACAUAAAUA
Long non-coding RNA from Triticum aestivum (bread wheat), 2125 nucleotides. RefSeq lists it as uncharacterized. Lineage: Eukaryota; Viridiplantae; Streptophyta; Magnoliopsida; Poales; Poaceae. The record is from RefSeq and is a predicted model, not a curated record. The transcript is spliced from 3 exons.